This 356-nucleotide non-coding RNA is filed under the name Brassica napus (rape). RNAcentral's name for it is "Eukaryotic large subunit ribosomal RNA". It matches the Rfam family "Eukaryotic large subunit ribosomal RNA", at positions 24 to 311 of the family's 3401-position model. Lineage: Eukaryota; Viridiplantae; Streptophyta; Magnoliopsida; Brassicales; Brassicaceae. The record is from Rfam by way of RNAcentral.
ACCGCUGAGUUUAAGCAUAUCAAUAAGCGGAGGAAAAGAAACUAACAAGGAUUCCCUUAGUAACGGCGAGUGAACCGGGAAGAGCCUUGCUUGAAAAUCGGAUGUCUUUGGCGUUCGAAUUGUAGUCUGGAGAAGCGUCCUCAGCGACGGACUGGGCCCAAGUUCCCUGGAAAGGGGCGCCAGAGAGGGUGAGAGCCCCGUCGUGCCCGGACCUUGUCGCACCACGAGGCGCUGUCUAUGUGACACCCCCGAUCGUAGGUGACCGAAAAUGACACGGUCGAUGUUCCUCGAUGAUCGAUCCGAGUAUCUCAGAAUACUUCCGAUCACCUUAGACCGACAACCAAAGAACACCAACG